Mustela lutreola (European mink) is the source of this 456-nucleotide long non-coding RNA. RefSeq lists it as uncharacterized. The transcript has 3 exons. NCBI's taxonomy places the organism in Eukaryota, Metazoa, Chordata, Mammalia, Carnivora, Mustelidae. The record is from RefSeq and is a predicted model, not a curated record.
UCAAAAGAGGCUGCAUUCAGGGGUUACAUUUGAAUUCUUAAGUUCGACCUCAUGGUUGUAGUAAUUCAACAAACAGCGAUGGGAGAAGACUUUGGGAUCAAAAUAAAGAAUUCAAGCAGUUUCUUUGUGGACAAUAUUGGACUCACAGGAACAGCCUUCUGUGCAGAAUUUGGGUAGCACUUUCAGUCUGGUUGAAGCUUUCAACUGAUUGGAUGAAAUCCACCCACAUUAUGGAUGGCCAUCUGCUUCACACCCAAGUUUAUGGAUUUAAAUGUAAAUCACAUUAAAACACCUUCACAAAAACAUCUAAAAAAAGAUGUUUGACCAAAUAUCUGAGUACUAUUUCCCAGAAAAAUCAAUACAUAAAAUUAAUCAUCACAAAGUCCUGAUAGGAGAAAAUGAUAUGCCUCAUAUGUUUCAUCAUGAUAAUUCCUAUGCCCUGCAUGGGAAAAUAAA